CUCUGAUAAAGUAGUUUCCCUUGAGGCAGGUCUCUUUGACCUUGAGCCUAUUUCAAAAUGGCUACUUUCCCCUCUUCCUGUCUGAAGCACUGGUCAGGUUUCUUCAGUCUUCACCAUAAGAACCUGGAGUUUCUUCAGGUUAAACCUGUGAAAGUGUAGGUGCUCCCCUAGGAGUAGGCCCCAGGAGGUUUUAAUGCUCAAGCCAUUCCACACUCAGCCUCCACCAAUUAGUCAAUUACCACCUGAGUGUUCCUACAAGUUAUGGCUCUAGCUAGUAAACUGACCUCAGCUGUUACUCUUUGUAUUUACUUGUCUCUCCAGUUUUUAAGGAAGCAGUUUGGCCUGUGGGAGUUCAGUUCCCGGAUGGACCUAAGAAGAGGUGUUGGCUUUCAGGUCGUGCAGUGGUGUUUACGUCCAAGAACUAAAACUAGAAGGACCAACACAUCCCUAAUGAUGCAGCUUAAAAAUCCCCCACAACCCAAGGAGACCUUGCUCUACAGUGUGAUGUCCAGCCUUGUUGAACUUUUGUGUGCUAUGCCAGAAUGUGUUCGAGAAGAAAAAAUUCACAUCCCUGUUUCAUCCUGCCUGAAUAAGUUUCUUCCAAUGAAUUCUGCUCUAGAACAACUGAACAGAUUUUAGAUUGUCAAGGUAAAUGACCAAAUGGCCUUAUAUCUUGGCUUUUUUGGCAGGGGCAGUUUAUAUCUUGGCUAUUUGCAUGAUACAGUUCUCAGCUCAGGUUUUUUGAAUAUAUAACUUCUUUAUGUGUGUAAGUCUGGGCUAUAGGUGGGGACAGUUCAUUAUUAAACUAG
Molecule: long non-coding RNA, 809 nt
Filed under: Felis catus (domestic cat)
Lineage: Eukaryota; Metazoa; Chordata; Mammalia; Carnivora; Felidae
Description: lncRNA (ENSFCAG00000044603.2)
Source: RNAcentral